UGUGCUGGGUACUUCAUUCUCAGCAUUCUCCAAAUCUCAAGUGUGAUGAAGAACUCAGAAUCUGUGUCUCCAUUUCCACCACUUAGCCUUUUUCAUCCAAAGGGUUUCUGCAUGGACUUUAUGCAGAGCCAGUGUCUUAGAGUAAUAUCCUUUUCUUUCAGCUUGGGACUUUGGUGGUGUCCUUUGGAUGGUGAUAUAGGUCUUCCUUUGUGGCCACCCCCCACACCUAAUGUGUGUAGAGAUACAGAGGGAGAGUGCUUGAGGGUAGUCGAAGCCAGUGGUUAGGGGAGGAUCCUGCCUCCUGUGUGGGAGAAGAAGAGGGGAUGAUAGACAUGUGCCCCUCUUUGAUUUGACCCAUGCCCAUUGGGUUGCAGAACUUGGACUCAACUUCCUAUCCCGUUGCUUUUCUCACCUGGUCACAGUCACCCACCAAGACCGAGGGGCUGCCCUGUCCACAACCAAAUUCCAAGGAUUGGAGGUCCUCAAGAAUACUGCCCAGGGGUGAACCAACUGCUCUUCAGAGUGAAAGCAUCUUUAACAGCCAUAAAAGGAGACAGGUCCUGAAGAAUACUGCAAAUGGGUGAACUGUCUGUGCUUCAGAUGAAGGCAUCUGUAGCAGCCAAUGGUUGGAGUUCUGCUGUCUAACUAUUACCAUGACAACUCCAGGCUUUCAAGCACCAAGUCAUCAGUGACUGUGGUCAGUGCAUCCUUUUGUGUAUCAGAAACUGAAUGCUUUCAGUUAGAAUGGGAGCAGCGUGAAAACUUUCCACCAAUCCCUGGUUUGUCACUGAGUAAUUGACAGACUCACUGUGCCUAGGGGGGACCAAGAUAUAAUUUGACAAAGCACAGAGGACGGGGCACCUGGGUGGCUCAGUCGGUUAAAUGGCUGACUCUUGAUUUCAGCUCAGGUCAUGACUUCAUGGUUGUGAAGUCUAGCCCCACAUAGGCUUUGUGCUCACAGUGUGGAGCCUGCUUUGGAUCCUCUGUGUCCCUCUUUUUGCCCCUACCCCACUCAUGCUCUCUCUCUCUCUCUCUCUCUGUGUUUCUCUUUCAUCAAAAAUGAGAAAUAUUUAAAAACAAGUUUCAAAAAAAGAAAGAAAAUCAGUGAUGGAAUGGGAAUGGACAUAUGGAGGGCCAAAGUUCUUCCUUUCCUAUGAGAAAGGGAUCAAGCAGAGAAUAGAAUGACUAGUAUAAUCUAUUUGAAGCUGGCUGUCUUCAGAAUAAGAAGCACAUCUGCACUGGGGAAAGGUAAAAACACCACUGGUUUUACCUAGAAGCUACUCCAGAGGAAACCUUCAUCUGGAAUUCAAGUGAGAAUGGGGUACAACUAAACAUGUAAUGUAUGGCUCAGUGUUUUCUUGUUGCAGAAGGAGGACUGGUUUUCUCCUAACUCCUCUCAACCUGCCUACAGGCAAACAUUCCAUGCUGGGCCCCUCAAAUGCACUAGGUUUCCUGAUGUAUGUAUGGUUAUAAAACACAUGUGGUGCGAGGCCCCAUGGCCCAAAGUAUCCCAGAGUCCAGAGAACUUGACCCAAGCCCUCAGUUAAAAUGAGCCAGAAUUGGUUUUAAAAUCUGGCCCCAAACGCCUACCAGAGGAAACCUAGUUUGAAAAAAAGAACAAAAAUGGACAUGGAUACACAGAGGCCCAAAGUUCUUUCUUACAGAGGAGAAUUGGAUAAAGCAAAGAAUAAAGUGACUAACAUAA
This is a long non-coding RNA of Leopardus geoffroyi (Geoffroy's cat), 1705 nucleotides long. RefSeq lists it as uncharacterized. NCBI's taxonomy places the organism in Eukaryota, Metazoa, Chordata, Mammalia, Carnivora, Felidae. The record is from RefSeq and is a predicted model, not a curated record. The transcript has 3 exons.